GACGAACGCUGGCGGCGUGCUUAACACAUGCAAGUCGAACGAAGAGCGACGGAAGCUUGCUUCUAUCAAUCUUAGUGGCGAACGGGUGAGUAACGCGUAAUCAACCUGCCCUUCAGAGGGGGACAACAGUUGGAAACGACUGCUAAUACCGCAUACGAUCUAAUCUCGGCAUCGAGGAUGGAUGAAAGGUGGCCUCUACAUGUAAGCUAUCACUGAAGGAGGGGAUUGCGUCUGAUUAGCUAGUUGGGGGGGUAACGGCCCACCAAGGCGAUGAUCAGUAGCCGGUCUGAGAGGAUGAACGGCCACAUUGGGACUGAGACACGGCCCAGACUCCUACGGGAGGCAGCAGUGGGGAAUCGUCCGCAAUGGACGAAAGUCUGACGGAGCAACGCCGCGUGAGUGAUGACGGCCGUCGGGUUGUAAAGCUCUGUUAAUCGGGACGAAAGGCCUUCUUGCGAAUAGUGAGAAGGAUUGACGGUACCGGAAUAGAAAGCCACGGCUAACUACGUG
Molecule: ribosomal RNA, 510 nt
Filed under: uncultured bacterium
Lineage: Bacteria
Description: partial 16S ribosomal RNA
Rfam family: Bacterial small subunit ribosomal RNA
Source: RNAcentral